Molecule: ribosomal RNA, 711 nt
Filed under: uncultured Bacteroidales bacterium
Lineage: Bacteria; Pseudomonadati; Bacteroidota; Bacteroidia; Bacteroidales
Description: bacterial SSU rRNA
Rfam family: Bacterial small subunit ribosomal RNA
Source: RNAcentral
UGCAAGUCGAGGGGCAGCACAGGGUAGCAAUACUUGGGUGGCGACCGGCGCACGGGUGAGUAACGCGUAUGCAACUUACCUAUCAGAGGGGGAUAGCCCGGCGAAAGUCGGAUUAAUACCCCAUGAAACAGGGGUCCCGCAUGGGAAUAUUUGUUAAAGAUUCAUCGCUGAUAGAUAGGCAUGCGUUCCAUUAGGCAGUUGGCGGGGUAACGGCCCACCAAACCGACGAUGGAUAGGGGUUCUGAGAGGAAGGUCCCCCACAUUGGUACUGAGACACGGACCAAACUCCUACGGGAGGCAGCAGUGAGGAAUAUUGGUCAAUGGCCGAGAGGCUGAACCAGCCAAGUCGCGUGAAGGAAGAAGGAUCUAUGGUUUGUAAACUUCUUUUAUAGGGGAAUAAAGUGGAGGACGUGUCCUUUUUUGUAUGUACCCUAUGAAUAAGCAUCGGCUAACUCCGUGCCAGCAGCCGCGGUAAUACGGAGGAUGCGAGCGUUAUCCGGAUUUAUUGGGUUUAAAGGGUGCGUAGGUGGUGAUUUAAGUCAGCGGUGAAAGUUUGUGGCUCAACCAUAAAAUUGCCGUUGAAACUGGGUUACUUGAGUGUGUUUGAGGUAGGCGGAAUGCGUGGUGUAGCGGUGAAAUGCAUAGAUAUCACGCAGAACUCCGAUUGCGAAGGCAGCUUACUAAACCAUAACUGACACUGAAGCACGAAAG